RNAcentral lists this ribosomal RNA (460 nucleotides) under uncultured bacterium. Its description in RNAcentral is "partial 16S ribosomal RNA". It matches the Rfam family "Bacterial small subunit ribosomal RNA", at positions 338 to 795 of the family's 1533-position model. The record is from RNAcentral.
CCUACGGGAGGCAGCAGUGAGGAAUAUUGGUCAAUGGCCGGAAGGCUGAACCAGCCAAGCCGCGUGAGGGAGGAAGGCGCAGAGCGUCGCAGACCUCUUUUGCCGGGGGACAAAAGGCCGGACUCGUCCGGUCCUGAGGGUACCCGGAGAACAAGCAUCGGCUAACUCCGUGCCAGCAGCCGCGGCAAUACGGAGGGUGCGAGCGUUAUCCGGAUCCAUUGGGUUUAACGGGUGCGCAGGCGGGCCUGUAAGCCGGCGGUGAAAUCGCGGGGCGCAACCCGCGGACGGCACAUGAUACUGGGAGACUAGAGUGAGGGAGGGGGGACCGGAAUUCUCGGUGUAGGAGUGAAAUGCGUAGAUAUCGGGAGGAACACUAGUGGCGAAGGCGAGUUCCUGGACAUUAACUGACGCUGAGGCACGAAGGCCAGGGGAGCGAAAGGGAUUAGAUACCCUAGUAGUC